Astatotilapia calliptera (eastern happy) is the source of this 1014-nucleotide long non-coding RNA. The record is from Ensembl. NCBI's taxonomy places the organism in Eukaryota, Metazoa, Chordata, Actinopteri, Cichliformes, Cichlidae.
CACGCUCCGAAGCCUCGAUACAGAACGUCCCAUCACUAUUUUACACUACAGACCAGUUGACAGCGUGCAAUAACCAUUCAUCUUUACACUACCUCACAAUCGACUCAACGGUCAGGUUUUUUUUUUCUCUCCCGCGAUCAGCCCUGAUCAGCGCGAGAUGGCGAGCCACCCGACCACCGCUACGUUGCGGUAGGAAUCGUAAACCUAUGGACUGAAUUAAACUGUUGACACAUGACCUAUCACAGGUCUAUGGAACUAAACUAAAUCUCAUACUGGACUACACCUCAUCCCACCUCCUUUUGGAACCUAAUAAGCUGUUUUGUAUUGUCAACAUUAUUUUUGUUUGUGAUAUAUAUGCAUAUUUAUUUAUUUUUUGUACAUCUGUCUAUACAUGUCUCAUAACAAACAUAAUAUAUAUAUAUUUUGAGCUCUACUUUGGUUUCCUGUGUUUUAUUCACACACUCAGUGUGCUGUGUGUGUGUGUGUGUGUGUGUGUGUGUGUGUGUGUGUGUGUGUGUGUUUGUGUGUGUGUGUUUGUGUGUGUGUGUGUUUGUGUGUGCUGUUUGUUGGGGUUUUUAUAUUGUUUUAUCUUUUUUUUUUUUUCCCUGUUUGUUUUCAGCAGAUCACAGGGCAGCACUCUUGGCAAAAACAAGAGUACGCAAAAUCUGCUUCUAAAUCAAUAAAGGCAGGUGUACUGAUGUGACUGUGUUAGGAAGGUCAUGUAGUUCUCACCUGGAGUCUUUUCUUAUAAACUGCAAACCUUUUAGUUUAAGGAGCUUGGAAAGAAAAGUGGUUGGACUUCUUUAAGUUUCUUCAAGACGUUUCUCCUCUCAUUGGAUAAGCUUCGUCAGUUCUUCAGAUUCCCAGGUAUUUAAGCUCUACUGGGAGUUGUCCCUUAAGAGAGUCGUUCAUGUGCCUCAUCACAUGAGUCAAGGUGUGAUUAUAUAUAAGGCCCUGUCAUGACAAUGACUGAUGUAUAUUGCAUAUACUGCCUAUUUUUUAAAACAAUUCAUU